AAAGGAGAUAAAAAUUUGGAAAAAAGUAAAGGAGAUAAAAAUUUGGAAAAAAGUGAAGGAAAUAAAAAUUUGAAAAAAAGUACAAGUAAAAAAACAGACAGCAAUCAAAAGAAUAUCCAUAAAAAACGCAACAGUAAGAACAUAUCUAAAAAUUCGUUGUCUAAUAGCAGUAGUAGUAAUAUAAAUAGUGAUAGUAAUAUUCCAUUAACAAACCAACAAUCAAAUUCGCAUUUUUUGAAAAAAAAAAUAGAUCUAUUUAAUAAUUUUAUUGAGAAUGUAAAACCAUCAAGAAGUUAUGACAUUGAUGAAUUGCACCCUAUAUAUAAUUUAUUAUGCAAAAAUGAAAACUCUUAUUUAAGUUCUAAUUGGCACGAUCGAAUUAAUUACGCUUUUCGCAAUAUAUGGUUACUAAAAAAUUAUAUGCAUGAUGAAAUAAGUGAGGGAGAAAGAGAAAAAGAAUUUUUCAAUGAAUUGGAGCAGUUUCAUAUGGCUAGUAAAAUAGGUGCAUGUGGUUUAGCUUAUAUUUUAUUUUUAAAUAAAAAAAAAGAUUUCGCAGGUAGUACUAUUAAUAAGUUUUACUUUGUUGAUGAUUGUGCUGGUGGUUGUACCGAAUGUCGCGCCGAUUAUUAUGAAAAACGUAUUUGUACCGAUAUCUAUAAAAGUAGCGACAAUUAUAAUAAAGAAACAGUAGCAAAUGAUUAUUAUUUAACGAAUUGUUUUAUUAAAGUAACUAAAGAGAAGUAUCCACAUAUAUACAAAGUAUACAAACCCAAAUUCGAUGAUGACUUAUUGUUUUUAUUUGAUAGCUUAGUUUUUACAGUUGUAUUAGGAAGUAGAAAAAAUAAUAUUAAUUUUGAUAUUGCAAGAAAGAUAUAUAAUAAUGAUUGUAAGGGAAAAAAUGUAUUAUGUGAGUGUAUAUAUAAUUUGAAAAAUAAUUCCAAAUUUGCAUUGCCAGUAACUACACAAAUAGAUUUUAUGGGCUUACGAAUAAUAGCAGAACCAUUAAUGCCAUUAAAUAAAUUAUAUAAUCCGGUGGACUUGGUUAAAUUGGUAUUAAAAACAGAAACUAGUUAUAAUGAUAAUUAUAUAACAAAACGAUCAAAUUCGUUACUGUUAAAUUAUGAAAAAGAUAUUAGUCCUUAUUACACAGAAUAUGACAUAAACAAAAGCGAUUGUGAGGAUAGCUAUGGUGAUAGUGGUUAUGGUGAGAAUAACGAAGGAACACAAAACAUACAUGAUCAAAAAAUACCAUACACACAGGUCUUGUUAGAAAUUGAAAAGUAUGAUAUUACGUUAUAUGAACAAAUAAAAACAAUGAGUAAUUAUUUAAACUAUUAUUGUUGCGUAUUUCCAUUUGGUGUGUCCGAUUAUUUUAAUUGUAACAUAUUUUUAAAAAGGAAGAAACGGAAUAUAGAUAGUAAUAGUGAUAAUAAGAAUGGUGAUACAUAUUGUAGUAAUACACAGUACAACAAUAAUGUAGAACUUUUUAAAUCAUAUAUUGACCAAUUAAUAGUUAUUAGAGGUGCAGAAGAAAUAUUACCACCACUUCUUUACGAUUCUAAUAGAUUAAAAUUUAUAACCAGGUUAAGAUAUGAGUUUAUGAAAUAUUAUUAUGAUGAAUAUUCAUUAUGUAAUACUAGUUUAGCGAUACGAAUAAAAGAAGACAAAAACAAAGAGUAUGAAAACAAUUUUGAAACUUUGAAAAAAGCUAGUAAAGUAUAUUUUGAUGUUAUAAAUAAAAUAGUGGCACCAAAAAUUAUUAACAUGAUAACAAAUUAUAAUGAUAGUUUUGAUAUAACUGAAGUUUAUCAUUCGUAUGGGUUAAAUAUUUGUAAUUUAGGUUAUUUAUUAAAAUCUGGUGCUAUACCUGAAUAUUUAAUAGCAAGAAUAUGUAGAGAAAUGAUAUGUAGGACAUUAAAAAGUAUAUAUCAUGAGUAUAUACAUAAAUUUUUCUUAAUUAAAGAUGAAAAUUCAAUGAUAAAAAGGAAUUACAUUGAAAAAAUAAUACAAAAAAAUAAUGAUUUAGAUGGGAUUAGUAAUAUAAUCCAUCCAAAUGUUACCACUGGUGUUACUUCUGCUAAUAAUGCUACUACAACUUCCGCUAAGAUUGCUACUGGUACUGUAGUCGAUGUAACCAAUAAAUUGGAAAUACCUAUUAAUGCUAAUAUCCUUACAUAUGAAAAAAAAAAAUUUUAUAAACAUACUCAACCUAAAUGUUAUAUGAACGAAAUUGAUUUGUUACUUUGGAAUAUAAUCAGUGGACAAGAUAAGAACAUAAAUCAAUACGAGCGUAGUAAUUCUGACAGUAUAUGCUCCUGUCAUAACAAUAAAAACAUGUACAAAGACACAUGUUUUGAAUGUUUGAGAAAACAAAAAUAUACUAAACAGGAUAAUAAUAACCUAUCCUCCUUAAAUAAUAGUUAUCCUAAUUAUUUAAAUAGUUAUUCUGAAUUUAUACCACAUAAGUUAUUAAUAAAAUUAAUAAACUUAACAUUAGAACUAAAUACAGUGAACUCAAUAAAUUUUUGGAAUCAAUUUUUAAUACCAAAAUGUAUCGACAAAUUUGGUAUAAAUUUAAACGAUUAUAUAAACAUAAAAGAAAUAGAAAUAUAUGCAUUGUUUAUAUGUAUAGAACACCAUUUGGGUGUUUAUUUUAAAAAGGAAUGUAAAAAAAACUAUACCAUACGUCUUCCGCUAAGUUUAGAUGACAUGUCAGAAUUUUGUGAUAAAAAUAGUAUACAUCUUUUUCCUAACUUGUUACAUUUGAAACGUAUAUUUCAACCGGCAGUUACUUCAAAAAAAGGGGGGUUCGAUAUGUAUAUUGACACUGAUAACUCUAUGAAUGAGGAAUAUGGAUAUGUAUCAAAAUGUAAUAAAAACAAAAUCAAUAAAGUUAACAUUUCUCAUGAUAGUAGUUUGAACAAUAACAUUCUAAAAGGUUGUAAAAGGUCGAAGCAACAUAUGUACAAAAAGGAUGGUUAUGAUUCUUUUAUGUCAAAUAAAAAGAGCGCUCAUAGUAGUAGCGACCGUAAUAGUAGCCACAAUAGUAACCACAAUAGUAACCA
This is a long non-coding RNA of Piliocolobus tephrosceles (Ugandan red Colobus), 3065 nucleotides long. The record is from Ensembl. Lineage: Eukaryota; Metazoa; Chordata; Mammalia; Primates; Cercopithecidae.